AUGUUGGUGUCAGUUGAUCCACUGUAGGAGUAAGAUGUACACUUAGAUAAAAUCUAUCGAUCCUAGAAGAAAGGAGUAGUCCUAUGAGAUUUAAGAAGUUGAGUUCUUAAGUUUAUAGCCAUAGCAAUGUGAUUGAUGGAAAAGAGUUUUUAUAAGAAUCACACAAUGGACUCGAGCUGAUUGAAUAUAUCAUAUGAUCAAUGAUGAGGUCUGAUGAUUCAUCCAUGAUCUAUCAUC
Molecule: long non-coding RNA, 237 nt
Filed under: Elaeis guineensis (African oil palm)
Lineage: Eukaryota; Viridiplantae; Streptophyta; Magnoliopsida; Arecales; Arecaceae
Description: long non-coding RNA (EGUI_LNC044386)
Source: RNAcentral